GUGCUCACUUCAGCAGCACAUAUAUUAAAACUGAAAUGAUACAGAGGAGAUUAGCAUGGCCCCUGAGCAAGGAUGAUGCAUAAAUUUUGUGGUACACUUGUUA
Small nuclear RNA from Choloepus hoffmanni (Hoffmann's two-fingered sloth), 103 nucleotides. The record is from Ensembl. Lineage: Eukaryota; Metazoa; Chordata; Mammalia; Pilosa; Megalonychidae.